This 720-nucleotide ribosomal RNA is filed under the name uncultured Alphaproteobacteria bacterium. RNAcentral's name for it is "bacterial SSU rRNA". It matches the Rfam family "Bacterial small subunit ribosomal RNA", at positions 8 to 767 of the family's 1533-position model. The record is from RNAcentral. Lineage: Bacteria; Pseudomonadati; Pseudomonadota; Alphaproteobacteria.
AGAGUUUGAUCCUUGGCUCAGAGCGAACGCUGGCGGCAUGCUUAACACAUGCAAGUCGCACGGGCAGGUUUCGGCUUGUCAGUGGCGGACGGGUGAGUAACGCGUAGGUAUCUAUCCAUGGGUGGGGGAUAACGCUGGGAAACUGGUGCUAAUACCGCAUGACACCUGAGGGUCAAAGGCGCAAGUCGCCUGUGGAGGAGCCUGCGUCCGAUUAGCUAGUUGGUGGGGUAACUGCCUACCAAGGCGAUGAUCGGUAGCUGGUCUGAGAGGAUGAUCAGCCACAUUGGGACUGAGACACGGCCCAAACUCCUACGGGAGGCAGCAGUGGGGAAUAUUGGACAAUGGGCGCAAGCCUGAUCCAGCAAUGCCGCGUGGAUGAAGAAGGUUUUCGGAUUGUAAAGUCCUUUCGGCGGGGACGAUGAUGACGGUACCCGCAGAAGAAGCCCCGGCUAACUUCGUGCCAGCAGCCGCGGUAAUACGAAGGGGGCUAGCGUUGCUCGGAAUGACUGGGCGUAAAGGGCGCGUAGGCGGUUUGGUUAGUUAGGCGUGAAAUUCCCUGGGCUUAACCUGGGGGCUGCGUUUAAUACAGCCAGACUAGAGUGUGAAAGAGGGUCGUGGAAUUCCCAGUGUAGAGGUGAAAUUCGUAGAUAUUGGGAAGAACACCGGUGGCGAAGGCGGCGACCUGGUCAUUACUGACGCUGAGGCGCGAAAGCGUGGGGA